This is a non-coding RNA of Maylandia zebra (zebra mbuna), 427 nucleotides long. Lineage: Eukaryota; Metazoa; Chordata; Actinopteri; Cichliformes; Cichlidae. The record is from RefSeq and is a predicted model, not a curated record.
GCUGUUCCCGACCCAUGGAGGGCUGCAUCAGUACCAUGGCAGGAUUGUGAUGGGAGUGUCCUUUGAUGGAUGUUGGCCAGGUGUUCUUCAUUGCCAGGACUCCAACACCCUCUUCCUGACCAGGAGGGAAAUACAGCGUACCAGAAUGAUGCCAACAAUAUGCAUUGUUGGAGUCAGAGUGGGUGAUGAGCUCUGGCACUCUCCCAACCUCAGCCACCAUGAACACAGCAAGGAAACGUUUCAAAGUUGGAAUCCUGAUACUUCUCAGUGGGAAAAUAUCUGAAAAGAACUGACUGUCAGUCAAUGUAGGUAAGUAACUGAAUGAAGAUUUGGAAAAAAGGCAGAAGAAGAAAAAAUGCAUGAAGAAAAGAAAAGUGAGGUGCAAGUGGAGAUGAAGACGGGAAAAGACUGGAGUCAAAGACUAAGA